UACGUAGGGGGCAAGCGUUGUCCGGAUUUAUUGGGCGUAAAGAGCGUGUAGGCGGCUGGGUAGGUCCGUUGUGAAAACUCGAGGCUCAACCUCGAGACGCCGAUGGAAACCAUCCAGCUAGAGUCCGGAAGAGGAGAGUGGAAUUCCUGGUGUAGCGGUGAAAUGCGCAGAUAUCAGGAAGAACACCCGUGGCUAAGGCGGCUCUCUGGUACGUGACUGACGCUGAGACGCGAAAGCGUGGGGAGCAAACAGG
This 253-nucleotide ribosomal RNA is filed under the name uncultured bacterium. RNAcentral describes it as "partial 16S ribosomal RNA". It matches the Rfam family "Bacterial small subunit ribosomal RNA", at positions 524 to 776 of the family's 1533-position model. The record is from RNAcentral.